CCUACGGGGCGCAGCAGUGAGGAAUAUUGGUCAAUGGGCGCGAGCCUGAACCAGCCAAGUAGCGUGAAGGAUGACUGCCCUACGGGUUGUAAACUUCUUUUAUAAAGGAAUAAAGUGAGGCACGUGUGCCUUUUUGUAUGUACUUUAUGAAUAAGGAUCGGCUAACUCCGUGCCAGCAGCCGCGGUAAUACGGAGGAUCCGAGCGUUAUCCGGAUUUAUUGGGUUUAAAGGGAGCGUAGAUGGGUUGUUAAGUCAGUUGUGAAAGUUUGCGGCUCAACCGUAAAAUUGCAAUUGAUACUGGCAGCCUUGAGUGCAGUUGAGGUAGGCGGAAUUCGUGGUGUAGCGGUGAAAUGCUUAGAUAUCACGAAGAACUCCGAUUGCGAAGGCAGCUUACUAAACUGUGACUGACAUUGAUGCUCGAAAGUGUGGGUAUCAAACAGGAUUAGAUACCCCAGUAGGC
This 460-nucleotide ribosomal RNA is filed under the name uncultured bacterium. RNAcentral describes it as "partial 16S ribosomal RNA". It matches the Rfam family "Bacterial small subunit ribosomal RNA", at positions 338 to 795 of the family's 1533-position model. The record is from RNAcentral.